RNAcentral lists this ribosomal RNA (742 nucleotides) under uncultured Terracoccus sp. Its description in RNAcentral is "bacterial SSU rRNA". It matches the Rfam family "Bacterial small subunit ribosomal RNA", at positions 771 to 1504 of the family's 1533-position model. The record is from RNAcentral. Lineage: Bacteria; Bacillati; Actinomycetota; Actinomycetes; Micrococcales; Intrasporangiaceae.
AACACGGAUUAGAUACCCUGGUAGUCCAUGCCGUAAACGUUGGGCACUAGGUGUGGGGGACAUUCCACGUUUUCCGCGCCGUAGCUAACGCAUUAAGUGCCCCGCCUGGGGAGUACGGCCGCAAGGCUAAAACUCAAAGGAAUUGACGGGGGCCCGCACAAGCGGCGGAGCAUGCGGAUUAAUUCGAUGCAACGCGAAGAACCUUACCAAGGCUUGACAUGUACCGGAAACAUCCAGAGAUGGGUGCCCCGCAAGGUCGGUACACAGGUGGUGCAUGGUUGUCGUCAGCUCGUGUCGUGAGAUGUUGGGUUAAGUCCCGCAACGAGCGCAACCCUCGUUCCAUGUUGCCAGCAACACUUCGGUGGUUGGGGACUCAUGGGAGACUGCCGGGGUCAACUCGGAGGAAGGUGGGGAUGACGUCAAGUCAUCAUGCCCCUUAUGUCCAGGGCUUCACACAUGCUACAAUGGCCGGUACAAAGGGCUGCGAAACCGUGAGGUGGAGCGAAUCCCAUAAAGCCGGUCUCAGUUCGGAUCGGGGUCUGCAACUCGACCCCGUGAAGUCGGAGUCGCUAGUAAUCGCAGAUCAGCAACGCUGCGGUGAAUACGUUCCCGGGCCUUGUACACACCGCCCGUCACGUCAUGAAAGUCGGUAACACCCGAAGCCGGUGGCCCAACCCGUCAGGGGGGGAGCUGUCGAAGGUGGGACUGGCGAUUGGGACGAAGUCGUAACAAGGUAGCCGUA